CUGGGCUAUUACUCACAAACC
Molecule: microRNA, 21 nt
Filed under: Oreochromis niloticus (Nile tilapia)
Lineage: Eukaryota; Metazoa; Chordata; Actinopteri; Cichliformes; Cichlidae
Description: oni-miR-10846
Source: miRBase by way of RNAcentral